GUGAACGCUGGCGGUAGGCCUAACACCUGCCAGUCGCACGGCAGCACAGUAAGAGCUUGCUCUUACGGGUGGCGAGUGGCGGACGGGUGAGGAAUACAUCGGAAUCUACUUUUUCGUGGGGGAUAACGUAGGGAAACUUACGCUAAUACCGCAUACGACCUACGGGUGAAAGCAGGGGAUCUUCGGACCUUGCGCGAUUGAAUGAGCCGAUGUCGGAUUAGCUAGUUGGCGGGGUAAAGGCCCACCAAGGCGACGAUCCGUAGCUGGUCUGAGAGGAUGAUCAGCCACACUGGAACUGAGACACGGUCCAGACUCCUACGGGAGGCAGCAGUGGGGAAUAUUGGACAAUGGGCGCAAGCCUGAUCCAGCCAUACCGCGUGGGUGAAGAAGGACUUCGGGUUGUAAAGCCCUUUUGUUGGGAAAGAAAAGCAGCAGGUUAAUACCCCGCUGUUCUGACGGUACCCAAAGAAUAAGCACCGGCUAACUUCGUG
RNAcentral lists this ribosomal RNA (491 nucleotides) under uncultured bacterium. RNAcentral's name for it is "partial 16S ribosomal RNA". It matches the Rfam family "Bacterial small subunit ribosomal RNA", at positions 29 to 507 of the family's 1533-position model. The record is from RNAcentral.